GACAGAGGCAGCCAGUCUUUCGGAGGCUUCCUUGGGAGGAGGGGGCCACUGUGGCUGCUGGGCUGGAGAGAGGCCUGCCGGGGCUGCCCAUUGGCCGACAAACGUUCUGGGACCUUGUGAGGUCACAGAGGCUCCCUUGGAGUUCCUGCCUGGCUGGAGGCCUGGCGUGUUUUCAGGGCUCCUGGGGAUGGUGAGAGGUUGGGCUCAGGGCUCCAGGAUGCAACUGGCCUGCCUGUUCAUCGUAAGCGUCCUCUCCUUGGCUUCACUGAGAAUGAGCAGGGUAGAGGCCUCAAGAGCUCAUCCAACCAAUUUUGAGUUCCACCCAGAACAUAAAAAGAAAAUAGUUGCCUCUCCGAAAGAUGCCUGGAAGGAGGAGGAGGAGGAGGAGGACAGAGAAGAAGGAUUCCGUGAGCGGAUUGUUCGAAGAGCCGUGAGGAAGUAUCCUGAAGAUGCUGGAGACCACGUGGAAGCUGGCCAUCGGCAAAUCUCCAUCCCCAUGGGCCGAGCUGAGGGCAGCUGUCCUGAAGUGCUGGCCAAAGGGACCCUGGCAGUGAUUGUGGCCGCCUUGGCCUUCUUGGGCUUCUUUUCCACUUCUGUCCUUCUGGUGGUGGCGGUCUGCGUCUUGCGGAUGGUGGAGAAGCAAAGGAAAACAGGGAAGGACGGGAAAACCAGCUAUCCUUCUUCCAGGAGACCUCUCCCUCCUAUCCCACCUCCUCGCCCAGAGCGUACAUACAUGACCAUGAAGCCACAUGGCUCUGAUCGCCUCUGUCCAGCCACCCCGCACACCACAGAGGAUGCCUACCUGAGUGUCAAUGAGCUGAAUCCUGGUCCCAGAACCCGUCAGAAUCUCCAUUACCAGAACCCGGGCGCGUCAUCGCCACCCAAGACCCCCGUGGAGAGGGAGUACAUAAUUCCUGAAAAGGUGCAGCCCUUUUCAAGGUAAGUGUAAGUGAUCUAGGAUGAAAUUUUAAAUUCUCCAACAAAUGAGGUCAUGGCUAAGGCACUGCUUGCCUAUUUAGGACAUCCAUCGUUUAAAAAAGGAUCACACGAGCUGACCUCGUGUAGAAGAAGAAACUAAAAAUUUUUACUGAAAAAUGUUCAGUGUUUUCUUCUCUGUCAAUGUGCCUGACCUCUUAAGGAAACCUUGCAUGUAUGUGCACUUGUACUUGUGAGCUACUAGGUAGACUUCCUCUGUGCUCUGCUCCUGGGGAGCCUGUUUGGAUCUGGACUGCAUAGCUGGAACUGGCAGCUUUAGCCACAGCAAUUUAGAGCUCCAUGUCCAGUAGCCACCCAUCAGCAGCCCUCCCUCAGCAAAGAAGUAUGUGAAUGUGGAAGAGUCGGAGCCUACAGCUGUAACGGGAGGCUCUCCAGAGAUUGGGAUGACACCUCGAGA
RNA transcript from Crotalus tigris (Tiger rattlesnake), 1393 nucleotides. RefSeq lists it as uncharacterized. The transcript has 11 exons. Lineage: Eukaryota; Metazoa; Chordata; Lepidosauria; Squamata; Viperidae. The record is from RefSeq and is a predicted model, not a curated record.